RNAcentral lists this ribosomal RNA (429 nucleotides) under Verrucomicrobiota bacterium. Its description in RNAcentral is "Verrucomicrobia bacterium partial 16S ribosomal RNA". It matches the Rfam family "Bacterial small subunit ribosomal RNA", at positions 355 to 776 of the family's 1533-position model. The record is from RNAcentral. Lineage: Bacteria; Pseudomonadati; Verrucomicrobiota.
UAGGGAAUCUUCCGCAAUGGACGAAAGUCUGACGGAGCAACGCCGCGUGAGUGAAGAAGGAUUUCGGUUCGUAAAACUCUGUUGUUAGGGAAGAAAAAAUGUAUAGUUACUAUAUACAAAAGAGACGGUACCUAACCAGAAAGCCACGGCUAACUACGUGCCAGCAUCCGCGGUAAUACGUAGGUGGCAAGCGUUGUUCGGAAUUAUUGGGCGUAAAGCGCGCGCAGGUGGUUUAGAAAGUAUGAUGUGAAAGCCCACGGCUCAACCGUGGAGGGUCAUUGGAAAAUAAUAAACUUGAGAGCAGGGGAGAAAAGUGGAAUUCCUAGAGUAGCAGUGAAAUGCGUAGAGAUUAGGAGGAACACCGGUGGCGAAAGCGGCUUUUUGGCCUGCAACUGACACUGAGGCGCGAAAGCGUGGGGAGCAAACAGG